GAUGAACGCUGGCGGUAUGCUUAACACAUGCAAGUCGAACGGUCUCUUCGGAGAUAGUGGCGGACGGGUGAGUAACGCGUGAGAAUCUGGCUUUAGGUCUGGGACAACCAUUGGAAACGGUGGCUAAUACCGGAUGUGCCGAAAGGUGAAAGGUUAACUGCCUGGAGAUGAGCUCGCGUCUGAUUAGCUAGUUGGUAGGGUAAAAGCUUACCAAGGCGACGAUCAGUAGCUGGUCUGAGAGGACGAUCAGCCACACUGGGACUGAGACAC
This 270-nucleotide ribosomal RNA is filed under the name Rhizonema sp. 'cyanobiont of Coccocarpia sp.'. RNAcentral describes it as "partial 16S ribosomal RNA". It matches the Rfam family "Bacterial small subunit ribosomal RNA", at positions 28 to 327 of the family's 1533-position model. Lineage: Bacteria; Bacillati; Cyanobacteriota; Cyanophyceae; Nostocales; Rhizonemataceae. The record is from RNAcentral.